CCUACGGGAGGCAGCAGUGGGGAAUAUUGCACAAUGGGCGAAAGCCUGAUGCAGCAACGCCGCGUGAAGGAAGAAGGGUUUCGGCUCGUAAACUUCUAUCAACAGGGACGAAAGAAAUGACGGUACCUGAAUAAGAAGCCCCGGGUAACUACGUGCCAGCAGCCGCGGUAAUACGUAGGGGGCAAGCGUUAUCCGGAAUUACUGGGUGUAAAGGGAGAGUAGGCGGCAUGGUAAGCCAGAUGUGAAAUGCUUGGGCUUAACCCGAGGAUUGCAUUUGGAACUAUCAAGCUAGAGUGCAGGAGAGGAAAGCGGAAUUCCUAGUGUAGCGGUGAAAUGCGUAGAUAUUAGGAAGAACACCAGUGGCGAAGGCGGCUUUCUGGACUGAAACUGACGCUGAGGCACGAAAGCGUGGGGAGCGAACAGGAUUAGAUACCCGGGUAGUC
This 443-nucleotide ribosomal RNA is filed under the name uncultured bacterium. Its description in RNAcentral is "partial 16S ribosomal RNA". It matches the Rfam family "Bacterial small subunit ribosomal RNA", at positions 338 to 795 of the family's 1533-position model. The record is from RNAcentral.